Long non-coding RNA from Rhopalosiphum padi (bird cherry-oat aphid), 911 nucleotides. RefSeq lists it as uncharacterized. Lineage: Eukaryota; Metazoa; Arthropoda; Insecta; Hemiptera; Aphididae. The transcript is spliced from 2 exons. The record is from RefSeq and is a predicted model, not a curated record.
CUUAAGGCGGCUCUAAGCGAAUACAAUUUUCAUACAUUUAGACCAAUAAGCUGGCGAAAAAUAAAUAGACUUCUAGUAGUCCAAUUUUAAUUUUGAAAAAAGUUUUGAACUUGUUACCUUCUUCUCUAUGUUUUGUAGGAAAUACUUUUUUAUUUUUUUGUUUUGUUAGCACAUUAAAGUGCAUGUUAAUUUUGAAAAAUUAAUUUAGUUAUUUAGAACCGUACUACGUAAAUUAUCCAAAAUAUCCAAAAUCUAUUUCCUACAAAACAUAGAGUAGAGGGUAAUAAGUUCAAAUAAUUUUUCAAAAUUAAAAUAGGAUUACUAGAAGUAUGUUAAUUUUUCGCCAGCUUAUUAGAAUUAUUCAUUGUUGUGUAUGUACAAAAAUAUUUUUCGAAUAUUCGUACGAUGACUUGUGCAUGCGCGUACGUAUGCUAUGGAACGUAAUCAUUCCGUUCGCCCACAUCCGGGCGAUAUGAAAUCUAUUGUUAUCGAUUCGAAUUUCUUCGAAAUACUAAUUUUAUAUUUUAUAUUAUAUAAAGUAAUUGCAUUUAUUAUAAAUACUAGUAUUUAAAAUCAAUGCUAUUAGUAAGUUAUUACCAUCAGUGCAGUUUGUGUUGAUUUUAUGCAUUUGCAAAUAAUAAAAAGUUUAUAAAAAUGAGUGAUUGGCGAUAUAGUAAAAAGAUGCGUCCAAAAUUGACUGCACCACGGAAAAAAUUAAGACACAAUUUGAAAAAUUUACAGUCUAAAAAUUCUAAAACUUUAGAGGACAACGAUAUUCAGAUUUUGGAUCAUUCUAAUGUUUCAAAUGAAAAUGAUGACCAAACUCAUGAUGAAACUGAUAGCAGGUAAUUACUAAUUUGUAAUUAUUCUUUUAUAUUUAUUAAUAUGAAUAUAUUGAUUUUACAAUGAUA